CGACUGAUCAGAAGAAGUAGAAACCUGGGAAGAAAACACGACAGUUCGCGUCAAUAGUAAGAGAGGUGUUGAACGGAAGCAGAGCUCUGGAGCGUGAGGACAGACAGUGGCUGUAAUGAUGGACGUGUGCUGAAGGACAGGACUCAUUUUCAAUGAUGCCACCCUUCCUUUUUCGUGUUCAGACUGAAGUACGUUAA
Molecule: long non-coding RNA, 197 nt
Organism: Puntigrus tetrazona (Sumatra barb)
Lineage: Eukaryota; Metazoa; Chordata; Actinopteri; Cypriniformes; Cyprinidae
Exons: 3
Source: RefSeq, a predicted model, not a curated record